AAAAGCACACACCAGGCGGGAAAGGAGAGAGAAGGAAAAACCCACUCCUAGCCACACAAUGGUGGAUCUUAAUAUCCAAUGAAAAGAAAAAAUUCUAAUGUAGGUCACACGCAAUAGAUAACCCAAUAUAAAAUGAACAAGACGUGAUCAAGCAAAUCAAAGAAAAAUGUACAUCAAUAAAUAUGUUAAGACAUGUUCAAUGUUACCGGUGAUCAAGGAAUUUCAAAUCAAGAUCAAAAUGGUAUACCAUUUACAGCCAUCCCUCUGGCAAAAAUUAAAUACCAAGUGUCAGACAUGAGAUGGCUCAGAGCUCUCCUGUGUUGCUAGUGAAAUGUUAACUGGUUCAACAACUAUGUAAGUCAGCAGGACAUUAUGUCCUAAAAUUGAACAUUCGUGUGCCCUAUGACCUAGUUAUUCCACUCAGGUCUAUACAAAAGAGAAAACCAUGCACAUAUGGAACAUGCACAGCAGAAAACGUGAAAGAAUAUCCCAUGCUCUUCAGAAGAGCAAAAACCUGGAAAUGACCAAAGGCCCAUCAACAGAAGAGUGGAUAAAUUAACUUCGGCAGAUCCACACAAUAAAAUAUCACAGCAGUCAGAAGGAAUAAACCACAGUGAAAAACAACAAUAUGGUUGAUUUUUAGUAAUAUUACUGUUAUCACUUAAGUCCCAAAAAGUUACACAUAGGAAGAUAAGUUAGUUGCAUACACACAGAUUUUUUUUUGGAAAUUAGAUACAGAAGAAAAAAUUAAUACAAGAUGGGAGCUAAUGAUUACUUCUAGUGAAAAGUGAAAGAGGGAAAAGUAAAACAGUGGUUACUGCCAAGAUCCUAGAUUUUUGUUGGAAACAGUGCUCGCUACAUUAUACAAAACAACUAAUUUUUUAAAAGGAAAAAGGUUAGUCCAUGGAUUAACACAUGGCUCACUGUACGUGCCAUGAGCUCGGGAUGAUAGCUGAUCCAAUCCCAUAUACACCUGAAGUCUUGGGGCAGGGGCGGACCACAAGUCAGCGCUGCCCCCACAACACCAGGCUGAUGGCCCGGUGAUUCUUCUGCCUGUGUGCAAAAGUCGGCCAGGACCAUCCUUCUCCAUCUGCAACACCCAGGGUCUUUUCUAAAACUUUUGCCCAGUCGGCUCAGCCAAAAGGACACAGAAGCCCUGCAGAGGCUCUGAAACCAAGGACAGAGCCCUACGGACAGCUCCCACGCCUGGACAGCUCCCGCGCCUGGACAGUUCCCGCGCCUGGACAGCUCCCGUGCCUGGACAGCUCCGCGCCUGGACAGCUCCCCGCCUGGCAGCUCCCCCUGUCCCGCCCGCAGUGGGCGUGUCUGGGAGGCACUGAGCAGGGGCCGGGGCGGGCUCAGCGGUGACGAGGUACCCGCCUAGGGAGAUGCGCAGCUGGAGGUCCAUGAGGGCUGGAGACGCGGAAGGCGCAUGGGGCACAGCAGGCGCACGGGGCAUGCAGCGUACAGGGAGGCGGGGGGGAAGCGGGGGGGAGGCGCGUGGGGCGCAGCAGGCGCACGGGGCAUGUAGGGUACAGGGAGGCGCGAAGGGGGAGGCGCGUGGGGGGCAGCAGGCGGACGGGGCAUGCAGCGUACAGGGAGGCGCCAGGGGGGAGGCGCGUGGGGCACAGAGGACGCCGGGUGGUACACGGGAUAGGCAGAGAGGCACAGGGGUGGGGAGGUGUGGGGCGCGGAGGGGCGUGAGGAGGCGAGGGGCACGGCGAGGCGGAGGGCAGAAGGCACGGGGAGCCCCAUGAGGCACAAAGGGUGCAGGGAGGCACGGGGGCCGAGGAGGCGCGGAGGACCGGGGAGGCGCAAGAGGCCCAGGAUGCGCGGGGUCCUGGGGAAGCGCGAGAGGCCCAAGAGUCGUGGGGGACAUGGAGAGGUGCAGGGGACCCAGGGAGGCUCGAUGGGCCAAGGAGGCGAGGAAAGCUGCAGUUGGGGGAGGGGAGAGAAUGGGGCGGGUGGGGGAUGGGGGGCGGCCGCUGCAGGCAAAGGGAUGCGGUGUUUCCUGGCAGCUUCAGAAGCCAAGCCCCCAACCUCGUAACCUGUUCACACAUAGGGUGACCCCUCUGUGUCAAGAACCCCUACGGGUCCCUCAUAAUGUGCGGGUCACUUCCUGAAAAGGAGGCAGAAAAAGGCCCUGGAAGCGGGAAGGGAGAGACCCAGCCGCACGGCCACGCUGGCGGCCACUGCAUCCCUCGGCGGUAGACCCGGGCGGGGCGCACACCCACCCCUCGCCGGCUUCCUCGCAGCCCAGUGGCCAAGGGCGACACCAGCGAGAGGCCGCAGAGAACCGCGGCCUCCCAGAUAAGGGCCAGGCAGGGACUGCGGGAUGCCGCCACCACGCCAGGCCGCCAGUCAGCUCCCAAGACCUGUCCCCAACAUGCCAGGCCUCGGCCUCCCAGCACUGCAGACCCCAAGCUCCAGGUUCGCGGGGCUGCCCGCUGGAACCCCUAAGACUCGCUGGCAGAGCCUCCUUAGAACCACAUUAGACCAAGCUGUAUCAUCUUUUAUACACAAAGCUGUUCGUUGUUUUUCAGCUGCCAUGGCUUCCAGUUUGAGAUCAUGUCACCGGAGCCUGCACAGAUGAACCAAGCUUGCAACACGGGAGGAACCUAAGCGCUGGACUGAGGAGCGGGACUGAAAUAAGAAGCGCACACCACAUGGCAAGAUCCAGGAUCCAAUCAGAUAGAGCCCUGGUGUCAUUUAAUUGCAAGAUCCAAUCAGAACACACUUCAUUACCAUAAGCUUAUAAAACCCGACCCAGCCGCCAGCUUGGGGAGACAGGUUUGACCUUUCCUCCUGUCUCGUCGCAGUGCAGUCCACUCUCUCCAGCAAAUACCCUGCGCUUUGGUGUUUGGCUUUCCCUGGUGCACAGGCAGACAGGUCCAGUUUGGUUUGGUUGACACUCUAGGCCAUGCUCACACACUCGCCAGGCCUACCAGGACACAUUCACCAGGCCCUCCAAACCAUGCUCACAGGAACCACCAGGCUGCACACAAGGGCCCUCCACACCACACCACACUUGGCCGCACCUUCCGGGGCCACACCUUGAGGUUCUCCAGAAUCUGCAGGGACCUCAGUGCCAGCCAGGCCACACCACCCAGCACUCUAAGCCACACUCACUAGACCCACCCGGAACAACAGGCCACACCUCUGAGUGCUCCAGAUAGCGCUUGCCAGACCCCUCCAGACCACACUGGCCAGGCGGCACCUCGGAGCCCUCUAGGCCACGCUCUCAAGGGUACCACCAUGCCAGGCUGCACCAGGCCCUCACGUGCUUCUCGGUCAGGCCACCAAGUCGCACUCUGCAGGCCCACCAGGCUGCACCUCCAAGCCCAAGCAAGCCCACAGUGAUUCGGCCUUCUUGAAGCCACAAAGCCUGGUGAUCCUGACUUCACAGGCAACCCUCCUGCCUGCCGCAUCGGCCACAGCAAUUAUAUUAUUGCCACGGCAAUUAGAACCUACAAGGCAGACAGAGAACCCUUCCUGUCCUACUUCCCGAUGUGUUCAAGCAAGUCUUCCUCUCUCCCCUGAACCACCCACUUAGCAUUGCCUUCAACAUGUACUAUUCACGCUAUUUUCCCAAAUUAAAAAAAAAAAUACUCAUCCAAUUUUUUUACCUCCAGCUUCUCUAUUUAUAUGGAUACCCUUUUUAAAAGAUAUUUAUUUUCUUGCUACCACCAACACACUCCUUGGCUACCCUUCUUGUCCCCUGAACUGGCUGUUCCCCCAGAGAAACACACAGCUCACUCCCUCAACUCGAGGUCUUUACUUACAUGUCACAUUCUCGGUGACACUUACCCUAUUUAAUAUCCUUGCACGCACACCCGAGCCCCCAGUACUCCUGAUUACCCUUCCUUUCCUUUUUUGUAGCAGUCAUCACAGUUUAACAUACUACUUAGCCACUGCUUUUUUCAUCUGUCUCCCACCCUACUAAAAUGUAAGCUCCAUGAAAAAAAGAGAUUGUCUGUUGUAGUGACUGAUUCAAUUCCAGUACCUAAACCAGUGCCUACAUAUGACUGAUAGUCAAAUAUUUAUUAUAAAUAAACAUUAACUGUUGGCUGUUUUAAUAUAAUGUAUACAUAUAAUUUUAGAUGAUUUAACCAAGUAAAUAAGAAAAUACACUAUAAAUUACUGAACCAUACCCAUACAGUAGAUUGUUCCAGCAUAUUUGCCACAAUAAACAAUGCUACCAAAAACCUUUUGUACAAAUAUCUACAUAUAGUACUACUUCUUCUACCCGUUUGAGUCACAAAAGAUUAUGUGAAUAUACGUUUUAAAAUGUAACAGGUAUUGCCAGACUAUCAGGAGAGACCAUAAAUCAAAUAAAAACAUGAGUUGUAUCCAAAACUCAACCAGGUAUCAUCUUAAAUAUCCAACAGAAUUC
RNAcentral lists this non-coding RNA (4393 nucleotides) under Pongo abelii (Sumatran orangutan). Lineage: Eukaryota; Metazoa; Chordata; Mammalia; Primates; Hominidae. The record is from RNAcentral.